This 3763-nucleotide long non-coding RNA is filed under the name Malus domestica (apple). RNAcentral describes it as "long non-coding RNA (MDOM_LNC013873)". The record is from RNAcentral. Lineage: Eukaryota; Viridiplantae; Streptophyta; Magnoliopsida; Rosales; Rosaceae.
GAAAGUGGUUUUUAGGCAGUUUUGAGUCAUUAGGUUGCUGUUUUGAGUUUUAGGUUUGUUUAAGUGUUUUAAAGUUUAGUUUUGCAUUCUUUGAGUCUAGUUUAGUGUUUUAAACCUUGUUUUAGAGUUUUUAAGUCAGUUUCCAAGUGUUUAGCAAUCCCUCCUAAUCCCCGGUCUAGAACGAUCCCUACUUACAUCUUUACUACAAUUUGACAAAAAGAGGGUUUAAUUUGUGUGCUUAUCUAUUUCGCAUUAGCUGGAUUAGAGGAAUGGCUGCGGCAAGGAGGGGGAAGUGGCUGGUGUGAUGGAGAAGUGGUGGCUAAGAGAUAUUAGGGUGAUGGUGGCUGCGGCAAGGUAGGGAAAUAGGGUUGGAUGAAUUUCUGAAUUGUGUAUGCAUGAUGAGUGCGGCUAGGUGUAGAAAUAUAUAUAUAGGCACUUAAAAACCCUAGCAAAUCAGAUUAGGGUUUCUAGAAAUCCAAAUCCACCAGAAAAAUAGGUUAAACAAUCAGAAAUUUGGUGAGAAAAGGGCCUAGGGUGCGGCAAUUAAGUGGGCUAGGGUUAGGGCUUCUAGAAAGCCUUGCAAGGCAAGGAAAUAUGUGUUCUAGAAGGGGAAAGGUGCGGCUGGUUAGUGGGAAAGUGGAUAGGGCUUCUAAAAAGCCCAAAACCAAGAGAAAUUAAGCCCUAACCCACGACAAGGAUGAGAAAAUAUUCUAACACCUUUCUUUGUGUCUUCCAACGCUUCGGAACCUUCUAAUGUUGCUCAAACGCAAGGCCAUUCCGGUUUAGGAAAGAUCAACCCAAAAUGGAAACUUUUAGGCUUAGCUUUCCUACUUCAAGUAGGGAACCUCAAAUCUUCAACUCUUCAAUUUCAUCCCAACCUUGUGUUCCAAGCAUGUCCUUUUCAUUCCAAGCUCACUUUUUGCUCCAAAAGCUCCAAAUUGCAUCAUUUCAUGUAAUAUGUCCUUUAAACCUGAAAACACAUGAAAGUAGCUUAAAAGACUACUUUAACAAAGAAAACAUAACGAAAAUGCAUAAGAACUAGCUAACUAAGGCGCAUAAAUAUGCUCCUAUCAGGGACUAACUCACAAUCAACCAAAAAGCACUUUUUGGUGGCAAUACAAGUAAAAAGCUAAUGACUCACUACCCUCCAAAUGCUUUCGGGCAAGAGCAAAGUCACUGCAAUCAGGCUAAUUUGAAUAAAAGAAGGAAGAGGCCCCAGAAACAAGGACACUCAACCAAUUAAACAAACAAACAUACAAACUCUGCUCUUAAGCCAGAUUUGCAUCUAAAAGCUGUAAUCAACCCAGAUCUUAGUCAUUUUUAGGAUAACUCCCUCACAAAAGCUAUCUUUUAUCUUGAUUAGAAGCUCUGCUAUCACCCCUAGUGGCAUAGUAUCAAUUUCUUUGUGUAAAUUGGUUUACCAUCCAUCCCUUUCUAGCAUAGAAACCACUAUAAACUCAAAGAUAAGUGACUGCAAGAGGUUCAACCUUGCCAAAUAAGGUGAAAUCUUGCCCAAAGCUCUUUGUUUGCUUUAUGAAUUUGUAGAUCUAUUACUUAAUGCAUUCUCCAGUAUGUAUUAGUCAUAUCUGCCUGUUUUCUACUUUAAAAGUCUUAUUUGCAUCUGGAUUAGGUCAAUUUAAUAGAUAUGUUUUCAUUUAAAACCAAUCAAGAACCAAACAAAUGACUUAAGGGAUCUGGACUCCCCUUAUUCGAAUAUACAAGACUAUGAACUGAAAGUACUUGGUCACAAGGCAAGAAAAAAAACUUAAUGUGGACUUAAUCUAUCUACGAAAAUCCUUUGAUAACAAAAAGUCUGAGUAACUUGGGGCGCAAGUAAUCAACUAAACAUAAUCUUGCUCUACAUCUGCUAUAUUAAGAUAGCAGUGGCACGCCUAACACUUAGUUAGUUUUGAUUGUGAGCCUCAAGGCCUACACCUAAAGCUCCACAAAGGCACCUUUCAAAACUAACUUUGUCCUUUUCUUGCAGCACAUCAGCAGGCAAGAGCGACUACAUAUCUAAGGUGACAAUCCCUUGGGGAGUUGUGUUGAGAGCCGAGGAGCCCUCUUUAGAGAAAUCUUCACCCGAACCUAGUUUUGGCACACUUGAUGUGAUUCAUUUAGUCUUGUAUGCCAAGAAGAAGAAGGAAGGAGAAAACAUUCAACUGGAAUACAGAAUAUGGGUCACCCCAGUAUUUACCAAAAGCAAGCAUGACAAAUCAUCCAAAGGAUUUUCCUUCCCUGUAAGGACUAGCUAUUCUAGAAAGCCCGACUUCAUAUGAGAAAUCAGGAAGGAAGGUGACCAAUGAGGACUUGAAAGCCACCAUGGUAUAAGUAUUAAGAAGUAUGGAGAAUAUCACUUUGGAAACCAGAUGAGAAGUAAGCAGACUCUGUUCUUUAGUGAGGAAUUUGCAAAGAAGACUAUAUCUGGAGUACUCUACUCCAAAGAAUGGUUAUGCUAGAGAAAUGAUGAGAGAAGAUAGCCCUGUGAAGCAGCCAGUUAUUCCUCUAUUUCCUUUGCUUAAGGAAAAAAGGGAUAAAGGGAAGAACAAUGAGGGAUCUGAAAUUGAUCAGCCAGUGUUGGAAAAGAUUUUAGAAGUGGAGUUGCCCGACCCCCUAUUAUUUUCACUAGAUAGUAGGGGCACAUUGGGUAAGAAAGAAAGAAGUAUGGGAUGCCCUAGUCAAUUGGAGAGACCAGUGGAAAAGGCAAGCCUACUAAGGUAGACAAGUCUCCCCCUUAUAGGCCACUACCAUUGGUUACUAAAGGAGGGGAGACCAAGUGAAGGAAGCCCAAAACAAGAAAUGAGACUUUCUCGGGCAAUGAUCAUAACCCGAAGUGGGAACUUCCUCAGGGCAAUGAUCGUAGCCCGAAGUGGGAACUUCCUCAUACCCCGCCGAAUAAUACAGCUCACCAGCAGCUCAGGGAUGAAUUAGCCGAGUUAAGAAUGAUGAUAGCCUAGAAUGCUCAACCCCAGGCUCGCCCGCUGUUCAGGAUCACCUACCAAAAGCCAUAUCAAGAGUAUAUUGAUGAGCGUAAUCCUUUUCCUCUCAAUUUCAAGAUGUCCGCAUUCCCAACUUUCAGUGGAGAUGAUGGCAGUGUAUCAUCUAGAGACCACAUCUUCAAGUUCUCCAACCAUUGCGUGGCAUUUGAAGAUAAUCCUAACUAUAAGUUGAGGUUGUUUGGGAACUCGUUGGUUGGUUUAGCAUCUCAGUGGUACUCUUUGUUACCCCCCAAUUAUAUUGCUAACUGGGGGCAAAUGGAGAUGGCCUUCCAUGAGCAGUUCUAUAAGAUGUAGCCCGAGAUAUCCAUUAAUGACUGAUGUGAAAAUUAUGUUGACACACAAAUUAAACCCUAUUUGUGACAAUUGUAGUAAUGAUGUAAGUAGGGAUCGUUCUAACCGGGGAUUAACUAGGGGUGCUAAUCUAAUAUAAAUUGAUUUAAAACACAAAAACUAAACUUAAAGACUCUAACAAGACUACUAUAACUCAAAACAGAUUUGAAACACUCAAAACUGCCUAAAACAAUCAAAUUGACUCAAAAAGAAACUAGAACUUGAUUGGACGAAUUUGAAAGUGUUUAUGACUCCAAAUGCUUAAAAACACAAAAUAAAACAGAUUUGAAUGACUAAGACUCAACAAAAUAUGGGGGGGGGAUUGUGUUUGGACGAAAUUAAAUUAAAUGGGUAGAUUGUAAAGAAAACAGAUUGUAAGACAAAAUUGUGAUGAAUCAACGUAAAUCAAUUUCCAGUUAUCAAUUUAAUAAGUU